RNAcentral lists this long non-coding RNA (697 nucleotides) under Phascolarctos cinereus (koala). Its description in RNAcentral is "lncRNA (ENSPCIG00000017834.2)". The record is from RNAcentral. Lineage: Eukaryota; Metazoa; Chordata; Mammalia; Diprotodontia; Phascolarctidae.
AAAUCCAUGCCUUCUGACCCAUUAAUUGACGAUACUCCCAGUGCUGCCCUCUGAAAGAAAAAGGAAAACAGCAGCACCAGAAAGGAGGAUUUGCAGCCAAAACCUUGGUUGAGCCCCUUUCUCCAAGCUUCAAGCCUUGUCACUCCUGUCCAGUUGUCUUUGGAGAAAAAAAGCAACAACAAAAUCAGUCAAUUAGGAAGACUGGUCUCAGCUUAAUUCUUAAUAAAUCCAACACAAGAUCAAUGAAUUGAAGUGAUGGCGGUGAAUGCUUUAUGAUGUCAACUCUCAUAAAAUGGGAACAGAUUGUUUCCACAGCAAACAUCUAGCAAAUACAAGUCCAGCUAGAAGGAGGAGGUGCAUUGGAUGGUGUUGGCUUAUUAAACAUAGUGAAAACAUUUUGGACAAAACUGGGGCCCCAACAGUCCCAAGUUGGUACCGUGAACAGCUGAUACUGUUCGGUGAACCUGAUCAGAAGAGAGAGUACAUACCUUGUGGUCAAGGCCGUGAGUUUGUUUUUAUGAUGCAAUGGUAGUUGCUAAUAACUUUUGUUGGAAAACCUGAUACUUGAGAAAUGGUUUUGUCUCAGUUAGGAGCAGAGAAGAAAGUUGAGAGCAGUUUCUGGCUUGUCAGUAAUCCUUUCAUAUGAGUAACCAAAGAAAAAUCAUUCUAUUUCCUGAUGGUGGCUUAGAAACAAGGA